RNAcentral lists this ribosomal RNA (253 nucleotides) under uncultured bacterium. Its description in RNAcentral is "partial 16S ribosomal RNA". It matches the Rfam family "Bacterial small subunit ribosomal RNA", at positions 524 to 776 of the family's 1533-position model. The record is from RNAcentral.
UACGUAGGGUGCAAGCGUUGUCCGGAAUUAUUGGGCGUAAAGAGCUCGUAGGCGGUUUGUCGCGUCUGCUGUGAAAACUCGGGGCUUAACCCCGGGCCUGCAGUGGGUACGGGCAGACUAGAGUGCGGUAGGGGAGACUGGAAUUCCUGGUGUAGCGGUGAAAUGCGCAGAUAUCAGGAGGAACACCGGUGGCGAAGGCAGGUCUCUGGGCCACUACUGACGCUGAGAAGCGAAAGCAUGGGGAGCGAACAGG